UACGUAGGGUGCGAGCGUUAAUCGGAAUUACUGGGCGGAAAGCGUGCGCAGGCGGUUCGCUGUGUCCUGUGUGAAAGCCCCGGGCUUAACCUGGGAGGUGCGUCUGGGACUGGUAUGCUAGAGUUCGGGAGAGGAGAGUGGAAUUCCCAGUGUAGAGGUGAAAUGCGUAGAUAUAGGAAGGAACACCAGUGGCGAAGGCGACCACCUGGACUGAUACUGACACUGAGGUGCGAAAGCGUGGGGUGUAAAUAGG
This 253-nucleotide ribosomal RNA is filed under the name uncultured bacterium. RNAcentral describes it as "partial 16S ribosomal RNA". It matches the Rfam family "Bacterial small subunit ribosomal RNA", at positions 524 to 776 of the family's 1533-position model. The record is from RNAcentral.